This 1445-nucleotide ribosomal RNA is filed under the name uncultured organism. Its description in RNAcentral is "16S ribosomal RNA". It matches the Rfam family "Bacterial small subunit ribosomal RNA". The record is from RNAcentral.
GCUAGCUACAGGCUUAACACAUGCAAGUCGAGGGGCAGCAUGGUCUUAGCUUGCUAAGGCCGAUGGCGACCGGCGCACGGGUGAGUAACGCGUAUCCAACCUGCCUUACACUCUUGGACAGCCUUCUGAAAGGGAGAUUAAUACAAGAUGUUAUCAUGAGUAAGCAUUUUCACAUGAUUAAAGGUUUACCGGUGUAAGAUGGGGAUGCGUUCCAUUAGAUAGUAGGCGGGGUAACGGCCCACCUAGUCUUCGAUGGAUAGGGGUUCUGAGAGGAAGGUCCCCCACAUUGGAACUGAGACACGGUCCAAACUCCUACGGGAGGCAGCAGUGAGGAAUAUUGGUCAAUGGACGAGAGUCUGAACCAGCCAAGUAGCGUGAAGGAUGAAGGUUCCAUGGAUUGUAAACUUCUUUUAUACGGGAAUAAACGAAUCCACGCGUGGAUUUUUGCAUGUACCGUAUGAAUAAGGAUCGGCUAACUCCGUGCCAGCAGCCGCGGUAAUACGGAGGAUCCGAGCGUUAUCCGGAUUUAUUGGGUUUAAAGGGAGCGUAGAUGGGUUGUUAAGUCAGUUGUGAAAGUUUGCGGCUCAACCGUAAAAUUGCAAUUGAUACUGGCAGUCUUGAGUACAGUUGAGGUAGGCGGAAAUUCGUGGUGUUAGCGGUGAAAUGCUUAGAUAUCACGAAUAACUCCGAUUGCGAAGGCAGCUUACUAACCUGUAACUGACAUUGAUGCUCGAAAGUGUGGGUAUCAAACAGGAUUAGAUACCCUGGUAGUCCACACGGUAAACGAUGAAUACUCGCUGUAGGCGAUAUACAGUCUGCGGCCAAGCGAAAGCAUUAAGUAUUCCACCUGGGGAGUACGCCGGCAACGGUGAAACUCAAAGGAAUUGACGGGGGCCCGCACAAGCGGAGGAACAUGUGGUUUAAUUCGAUGAUACGCGAGGAACCUUACCCGGGCUUAAAUUGCAACCGAAUAUGGCGGAAACGCUAUAGCUAGCAAUAGCGGUUGUGAAGGUGCUGCAUGGUUGUCGUCAGCUCGUGCCGUGAGGUGUCGGCUUAAGUGCCAUAACGAGCGCAACCCUUGCCGAUAGUUACUAACAGGUCAUGCUGAGGACUCUGUCGGGACUGCCAUCGUAAGAUGUGAGGAAGGUGGGGAUGACGUCAAAUCAGCACGGCCCUUACGUCCGGGGCUACACACGUGUUACAAUGGGGGGUACAGAGGGCUGCUACCACGCAAGUGGAUGCCAAUCCCAAAAACCUCUCUCAGUUCGGAUUGAAGUCUGCAACCCGACUUCAUGAAGCUGGAUUCGCUAGUAAUCGCGCAUCAGCCACGGCGCGGUGAAUACGUUCCCGGGCCUUGUACACACCGCCCGUCAAGCCAUGGGAGCCGGGGGUACCUGAAGUGCGUAACCGCAAGGAGCGCCCUAGGGUAAAACUGGUGACUGGGG